AUUAAAGUUGCUGCGGUUAAAAAGCUCGUAGUUGGAUUACGAAGUGGUGUCUAAAUGUCAUUUUGGUUUGUUUGUCUUUCGGGGCAUUCAGGUCAACUUGGCUUUUACUCACUGUUGUCAUUGUCUUUGCCCAAGGUAUAUGCCUUGUGUGCAUGGCAUUGACCUUCUAUUUUAUGGUAAUGUUGUAUCUUUCGGGGUACAUUCAUUCCAUAUAGUUUACUUUGAAAAAAUUAGGGUGUUUAAAGCAGGCGAAAAGGCUUCGGAAUAUAUUAGCAUGGGAUAAUAGAAUACGAUCUAGGUCGUAAUUUGUUGGUUUCUACGGCUUAGGUAAUGAUUGACAGGGAUAGUUGGGGUCGCUCGUAUUGAGUUGUCAGAGGUGAAAUUCUAGGAUUAACUCAAGACGAACUAAUGCGAAAGCAUUCGGCAAGGAUGUUUUCAUUAAUCAAGAACGAAAGUUGGGGGAUCGAAGAUGAUCAGAUACCGUCGUAGUCUCAACUGUAAACUAUGUCGACCGAGGAUCCGGUAGCGUUACAUGGAUGACCUUCCGGGCACUCUGUGAGAAAUCAUAAGUAUUUGGAUUUCGGGGGGAGUAUGGUCGCAAGGCUGAAACUUAAAGGGAUUGACGGAAGGGCACCACCAGGAGUGGAAUCUGCGGCUUAAUUUGACUCAACACGGGAAAACUUACCAGGUCCGGACACAGUGAGGAUUGACAGAUUGAGAGCUCUUUCUUGAUUUUGUGGGUGGUGGUGCAUGGCCGUUUUUAGUUGGUGGAGUGAUUUGUCUGGUUAAUUCCGUUAACGAACGAGACCUUAACCUAUUAAAUAGCUGCGCGAACCCAGGUUCUUUAACCAUUCUCUCCUUCGGGGGGGCGUGGUAUCAUUAUUUUGCUUUUCACUUUCGGGUGGGAGGUAGGGUAGUGAUAGGGCCUGAGAUGAGUUGGUGAUUUGGCUUCUUAGAGGGACUACUUGCAUCCUUAGCAAGGGGAGGUUUGAGGCAAAAACAGGUCUGUGAUGCCCUUCGAUGUUCUGGGCUGCACGCGCGUUACACUGGCGCAUGCAAAGAGUUUAAAAUUCCUGUCCCGAUGGGGUUGGGAAAUCUUUUUAAAGUGCGUCGUGAUGGGGAUAGAGCAUUGAAAUUAUUGCUCUUGAACGAGGAAUUCCUAGUAAUUGCAGGUCAUCAACCUGCAAUGAUUACGUCCCUGCCCUUUGUACACACCGCCCGUCGCUCCUACCGAUGGUUGAACCGAUGAGGACUCGGGAUGAUCUUAUUAGAUCGGUCGGUCGAAAGAUCGAUAGACUAUUAGGUCAGAACUUGUUCAAAUCUUUUUAA
This 1329-nucleotide ribosomal RNA is filed under the name metagenome. RNAcentral describes it as "SSU rRNA". It matches the Rfam family "Eukaryotic small subunit ribosomal RNA", at positions 603 to 1772 of the family's 1831-position model. The record is from RNAcentral.